UUGAACCUCCACCAAGGGAAUAUGAGCAUUAGGGAGUAUAGCCCUCAAUUUAAUUCCCUGUCCAGGUAUGCUCCUACUGUGGUUGCUAUUAUGGAAGAUAGAGUUCAUCGAUAUGUGGAUAGGUUGGAUACAUAUCUGUUUAAAGAUUGUACCAGUACUUCCCUGAACAAAGAUAUGGAUAUAGAAAGAAUGCAAGCUUUUGCAUAGAAAAUGAAGGAUCAAAGGCAAAGGAGAAGGACACAAGAGUUAUAAAGGUGGCAGUCCAAAAGGGCUACAGGGCAGUUUACACCAUCCCAAAGUGAGGUUAGGCCUCACUUUUCAAAUUAACUGCCUAGGCCAUCAUCCUCCUACUCUGCAGCCAAUGGUCGACCAUAAUAUCAGGGUUCUAGGAGCAAUUAGCUGGGUCAAAGAAGCGAAGGGCAGGGCGCCCGGACAGCGGGAUAUUUAGCAAGCCAGUAAAUGACUCCUAUACAGCCUUCUAGAUAGUAUGGGAGAAUUCAUUCAGGUGUAUAUCGUGUUAGGACAAAUGCUUGUUAUUGGUAUGGUUCACCAGGGCAUAUGAUAAGAGAUUGCCCGAGGAGACGAAUAGGUGACAUAGCACAACCUACUAUAUGAGCUAUUGCAUCAUCGUCGUCAGUUCCUCCAAUAAGGAGGGGUUAACAUGCACCUAUGGGUCAUGGUAGAGGUGUAAGAGGGGCAGCUAGUUCUAGCGGAGUCUAGAAUCGCACAAGGCAGUUUAAGUGUCCACACCAACCAGUGAAUCUAUUAUUGCUAGAAGGUUUAUUAUGACUGUGUAGUAACUAUUUCUAACCGUGACACAUUAUAGUAACUAUUUGUAACUAUUUAUUAUGACUGUGUAGUAACUAUUUGUAAUAGUCAGAGGUAACGUCCUACGGCUAGAAGAGCACCGCACGACGCAUGGUGUCUUAUGCGCUCUCGACAGCCCUUGAAAAUCUAGAGGAUCGAAUGCCAUCCAUGCUUGAUCAUACUCAUAACUGCAUCAAGUCUCCAAAGUGAACAGCCUCUGGUCGAUAGAAUAAUUUAUGUAAGGGAAUUCAGCAAAAUAAAUUCAUAACUUUGGGAAAAAUAUUGGCUCUGAGGGCUAGGCAAGGGAGUCCCAGUCCCGAACACGUCGGCUGUUGGUGGACUACUCGAGCUAUUUCUAUGGUGAAAGUGGGUAAACAUAUGCCGACCGGGGGACGAACUGGGAACAGUUCCUUCGUGCGCCUUCCCCGGGCAUCGAACAACCUACUCAGAACUGGAAUGAACAAGAGAAAUCUGACUGUUUAAUUAAAACAAAGCAUUGCGAUGGUUCCAAUGAAUUCUCAUGCAAUAUGAUUUCUACCCAGUUCUCUGAAUUUCAAGGUGAAGAAAUUCAACCAAGCGCUAGUAAAUGACGAGAGUAACUAUGACUCUCUUAAGGUAGCCAAAUGCCUCAUCAUCUAAUUAGUGAUGCACAUGGAUGUAUUAAUAAGAUUCCCACUGUCCCUGUCUACUAUCCAGUGAAACCAUAGCCAAGGGAAUGAGCUUGGAAGAAUCAGCAGGAAAAGAAGACCCUGUUGAGCUUGAGUCUAGUCCGACUUUAUGAAAUGACUUGAGAGGUGUAGUAUAAGUGGGAACCGAAAGGUGAAAGUGAAAUACCACUACUUUUAACCUUAUUUUACUUAUUGCAUGAAUUAGAAGCAGGGCACUGCCCCUUUUUGUGGACCCAAGGCUCGCUCUGCGAGUUGAUACGAGUGAAAGAAAUUGUUAGAUGGCGAGUUCGGCUGGGUUGGCACAUCUAUUAAAAGAUAACGCAGGUGUCCUAAGAUUAGCUUAAUGAGAACAGAAAUAUCAUGUGGAAUAAAAGUGUAAAAGCUCAUUUGAUUUAGAUUUCCACAAUGAAUACGAACCGUGAAAGCGUGGCCUAAUGAUCCUUUAGACCUUCAGAAUUCGAAGCUAGAGGUGUCAGAAAAGUUACCACAGGAAUAACUGGCUUGUGGCUGCCAAGUGUUCAUAGUGACAUUGCUUUUUAAUCAUUUGAUGUCGGCUCUUCCAAUCAUUGUGAAGAAGAAUUCACCAAGUGUUAGAUUGUUCACCAACCAAUAAGGAAUGUGAGCUGGGUUUAGACCAUCAUGAGACAAGUUAGUUUUACCCUGCUGAUGAAAUUGUCACAAUAGUAAUUCAACCUAGUACGAGAUGAACCAUUGAUUCACACAAUUGGUUUUUGCGCUUGGUUGAAAAGCCAUUAGCGCGAAGCUAGCGUGUGCUGGAUUAUAACUGAAUGCCUCUAAGUCAGAAUCUGGGCUAGAAGUGAUACAUACGCCUACGGUCGGCUUGCCGACUCGCAGUAGGGGCCUUCGGCGCCCAAAGGCACUUAUCUUUGGCUACGCCAUCUCGAUGGAAGCGUUAUGGCGACAGCCUUGAAGUACAAUUUGCAUCGAGU
Molecule: ribosomal RNA, 2425 nt
Filed under: Solanum melongena (eggplant)
Lineage: Eukaryota; Viridiplantae; Streptophyta; Magnoliopsida; Solanales; Solanaceae
Description: eukaryotic LSU rRNA
Rfam family: Eukaryotic large subunit ribosomal RNA
Source: RNAcentral